GAUGAACGCUGGCGGCGUGCCUAAUACACGCAAGUCGAGCGAACGGACGAGAAGCUUGCUUCUCUGAUGUUAGCGGCGGACGGGUGAGUAACACGUGGAUAACCUACCUAUAAGACUGGGAUAACUUCGGGAAACCGUAGCUAAUACCGGAUAAUAUUUUGAACCGCAUGGUUCAAAAGUGAAAGACGGUCUUGCUGUCACUUAUAGAUGGAUCCGCGCUGCAUUAGCUAGUUGGUAAGGUAACGGCUUACCAAGGCAACGAUGCAUAGCCGACCUGAGAGGGUGAUCAGCCACACUGGAACUGAAACACGGUCCAGACUCCUACGAGAGGCAGCAGUAGGGAAUCUUCAGCAAUGGGCGAAAGCCUGACGGAGCAACGCCGCGUGAUUGAUGAAGGUCUUCGGAUCGUAAAACUCUGUUAUUAGGGAAGAACAUAUGUGUAAGUAACUGUGCACAUCUUGACGGUACCUAAUCAGAAAGCCACGGCUAACUACGUG
This 497-nucleotide ribosomal RNA is filed under the name uncultured bacterium. Its description in RNAcentral is "partial 16S ribosomal RNA". It matches the Rfam family "Bacterial small subunit ribosomal RNA", at positions 28 to 507 of the family's 1533-position model. The record is from RNAcentral.